CGGACGGGUGAGUAACGCGUGGACACUACCCGCACUACGGGGACGGAACUAAGCGGUAACGGACGUCGCUAAUACCGCAUAUGCGCACGGCCCCGCAUGGGGCCGCGCGGAAAGCGCAUGCGGUGCGGGAUGGGUCCGCGUCUGAUUAGCUUGUUGGCGGGGUAACGGCCCACCAAGGCGAUGAUCAGUAGCCGGCCUGAGAGGGUGGACGGCCACAUUGGGACUGAGACACGGCCCAGACUCCUACGGGAGGCAGCAG
Molecule: ribosomal RNA, 259 nt
Filed under: uncultured bacterium
Lineage: Bacteria
Description: partial 16S ribosomal RNA
Rfam family: Bacterial small subunit ribosomal RNA
Source: RNAcentral